Molecule: ribosomal RNA, 497 nt
Filed under: uncultured bacterium
Lineage: Bacteria
Description: partial 16S ribosomal RNA
Rfam family: Bacterial small subunit ribosomal RNA
Source: RNAcentral
GAUGAACGCUGGCGGCGUGCCUAAUACAUGCAAGUCGAGCGAACGGACGAGAAGCUUGCUUCUCUGAUGUUAGCGGCGGACGGGUGAAUAACACGUGGAUAACCUACCUAUAAGACUGGGAUAACUUCGGGAAACCGGAGCUAAUACCGGAUAAUAUUUUGAACCGCAUGGUUCAAAAGUGAAAGACGGUCUUGCUGUCACUUAUAGAUGGAUCCGCGCUGCAUUAGCUAGUUGGUAAGGUAACGGCUUACCAAGGCAACGAUGUAUAGCCGACCUGAGAGGGUGAUCGGCCACACUGGAACUGAGACACGGUCCAGACUCCUACGGGAGGCAGCAGUAGGGAAUCUUCCGCAAUGGGCGAAAGCCUGACGGAGCAACGCCGCGUGAGUGAUGAAGGUCUUCGGAUCGUAAAACUCUGUUAUUAGGGAAGAACAUAUGUGUAAGUAACUGUGCACAUCUUGACGGUACCUAAUCAGAAAGCCACGGCUAACUACGUG